RNAcentral lists this unclassified non-coding RNA (253 nucleotides) under uncultured Planctomycetota bacterium. RNAcentral's name for it is "uncultured planctomycete contains 16S-23S intergenic spacer region". It matches the Rfam family "Bacterial small subunit ribosomal RNA", at positions 524 to 776 of the family's 1533-position model. The record is from RNAcentral. Lineage: Bacteria; Pseudomonadati; Planctomycetota.
UACGUAGGGUGCAAGCGUUACUCGGAAUCACUGGGCGUAAAGGGUGCGUAGGCGGCUCAUUAAGUUGGAUGUGAAAGCCCUCGGCUCAACCGAGGAACUGCGUCCAAAACUGGCGGGCUUGAGGAUGGUAGGGGACAGUGGAACUCCAGGUGGAGCGGUGAAAUGCGUAGAGAUCUGGAGGAACGCCGGUGGCGAAAGCGACUGUCUGGGCCAUUCCUGACGCUGAGGCACGAAAGCCAGGGGAGCAAACGGG